UACGGGACCCCCAUGCUGGGUCCGGGAACCCUGCACCAUGUGCAGGUACAGGACCCCUCCGCCGGGGACGGGGACUCCCCAUGCCGGGUAUGGGGACCCCUCUGCACUGGGUACAGGGAUCCCCCCCACCCCAGGUACAGGUACGGGACCCCCAUGCUGGGUCCGGGAACCCUGCACCAUGUGCAGGUACAGGACCCCUCCGCCGGGGACGGGGACUCCCCAUGCCGGGUAUGGGGACCCCUCUGCACUGGGUACAGGGAUCCCCCCCACCCCAGGUACAGGUACGGGAACCCGCACGCCAGGUAUGGGGAUCUCCUCUGAUGCCAGGUACAGGUACGGGACCUCCAAGCUGGAUAGGGGGACACCCCCCCCCCGGCCGGGUACAGAGAUCUGCUCUUACGCCAGGUACAGGGAACCCCCUGUGACGGGUUCGGUCCCAGCGACCCCCUUGGGUCUGUCACCCGACGUGCUGGAAUUACCCCUGAGCCCGGUUUCCCUGCCAGCCUGGGUCUCCAGCACCCUGCCCUGCUGAGCCCGACAUGCUAGCCUGCUGCAGCGCGCCCCCAAAGCUGCAGCUUCAACCCAAAACUGCUCAGCACCCAGACCCCCAGCUCCCGACGGGGUACAGCCCCUGUAGAAAUCCGCUUCCCUCUGGGUAAAGCUUGUGCAGGGGAAACUCAGAAACUGUCCGCCCCCCCUAACGCUGGGAGCGAGAGGUUCACGGCUGUUUGCUCCCCCAGGAAUGAGUCACUUACUCGGCUUUAGUAAUAAACAAAAGUGAUUUUAUUACGGAUAAAAAGGAGGAUUUAAGACGUUCAAAGUAAUAACAGCCGGAACAAAGCAAGUUACCAAGCA
Gopherus evgoodei (Goodes thornscrub tortoise) is the source of this 855-nucleotide long non-coding RNA. RefSeq lists it as uncharacterized. The record is from RefSeq and is a predicted model, not a curated record. NCBI's taxonomy places the organism in Eukaryota, Metazoa, Chordata, Testudines, Testudinidae. The transcript has 2 exons.